Molecule: ribosomal RNA, 252 nt
Filed under: uncultured bacterium
Lineage: Bacteria
Description: partial 16S ribosomal RNA
Rfam family: Bacterial small subunit ribosomal RNA
Source: RNAcentral
UACAGAGGGUGCGAGCGUUAAUCGGAAUUACUGGGCGUAAAGCGUGCGUAGACGGUAGCGUAAGUCAGAUGUGAAAGCCCCGGGCUCAACCUGGGAAUUGCAUUUGAGACUGCUCUGCUCGGGUGCGGAAGAGGGAAGCGGAAUUCCGGUGUAGCGGUGAAAUGCGUAGAUAUCGGAAGGAACACCAGUGGCGAAAGCGGCUUCCUGGUCCGACACCGACGUUCAGGCACGAAAGCGUGGGGAGCAAACAGG